CCUACGGGUGGCAGCAGUGAGGAAUAUUGGUCAAUGGGCGUAAGCCUGAACCAGCCAAGUCGCGUGAGGGAUGAAGGUUCUAUGGAUCGUAAACCUCUUUUAUAAGGGAAUAAAGUGUGGGACGUGUCCUAUUUUGUAUGUACCUUAUGAAUAAGGAUCGGCUAACUCCGUGCCAGCAGCCGCGGUAAUACGGAGGAUCCGAGCGUUAUCCGGAUUUAUUGGGUUUAAAGGGUGCGUAGGCGGCCUUUUAAGUCAGCGGUGAAAGUCUGUGGCUCAACCAUAGAAUUGCAGUGGAAACUGGGGGGCUUGAGUGUGGUUGAGGCAGGCGGAAUGCGUGGUGUAGCGGUGAAAGGCUUAGAUAUCACGCAGAACCCCGAUUGCGAAGGCAGCCUGCCAAGCCAUGACUGACGCUGAUGCACGAAAGCGUGGGGAUCAAACAGGAUUAGAUACCCCAGUAGUC
This 460-nucleotide ribosomal RNA is filed under the name uncultured bacterium. RNAcentral's name for it is "partial 16S ribosomal RNA". It matches the Rfam family "Bacterial small subunit ribosomal RNA", at positions 338 to 795 of the family's 1533-position model. The record is from RNAcentral.